Molecule: non-coding RNA, 104 nt
Organism: Astrocystis sublimbata
Lineage: Eukaryota; Fungi; Ascomycota; Sordariomycetes; Xylariales; Xylariaceae
Source: the annotation of a GenBank genome assembly
AAACACGUGGUGUAAUGGCAACACCCCCUGGUCUCUAUCUCUGCCUAUGUAGGCACCUAACGAAAAGAACCAAGGAGAUGUAGGUUCGAAUCCUGCCGUGCUUU